UUUGGUUAACUGUUGAUCAUCCUUCCUUCCAUACCUCGUCUUGUGGUGUAUUUCCCAUAGAUUUUCAGCAUUUUCAACAUCAAAAUAUGAUCAUAUUCAGAUCUCAAAGAUUUCUAUAAAAUCACACACCACGAAUUAGCAAUUUAAAAAACACUAUAUCCAUGAUGAUGAAUCAAAACAAAAGCUAAAACUAGGCUAGUUCAUGUUGAUCUUCCACUUAUCGUUCCACUUCUACACUUAAUCAAAUUGAACUUUAUACUUCACCAAAAAUUUAUUUCACUCAUAAUCACACAUUAAAACCAUUUGGAAUACAUUAAACACAAUAGAAUCCAUCA
This 335-nucleotide long non-coding RNA is filed under the name Capsicum annuum. RNAcentral's name for it is "long non-coding RNA (CANN_LNC000474)". Lineage: Eukaryota; Viridiplantae; Streptophyta; Magnoliopsida; Solanales; Solanaceae. The record is from RNAcentral.